GAACGAGGUCCAUCCGGUGGCAACACCGGCAGAAGACCUAGUGGCGAACGGGUGAGUAACACGUGAGCAACCUGCCCCGAAGACUGGGAUAACAGCGGGAAACCGCUGCUAAUACCGGAUGCCCCCAUUGGGUCGCAUGGCCCGAUGAGGAAAUGGAUUCCGCUUCGGGAGGGGCUCGCGGCCUAUCAGCUUGUUGGUGGGGUGACGGCCCACCAAGGCGACGACGGGUAGCUGGUCUGAGAGGACGAUCAGCCACACUGGGACUGAGACACGGCCCAGACUCCUACGGGAGGCAGCAGUGGGGAAUCUUGCGCAAUGGGCGAAAGCCUGACGCAGCAACGCCGCGUGAGGGAUGAAGGCCUUACGGGUUGUAAACCUCUUUCGAGCAGGGACGAUAAUGACGGUAUCUGCAGAAGAAGCUCCGGCCAACUACGUGCCAGCAGCAGCGGACAUAAU
Molecule: ribosomal RNA, 456 nt
Filed under: uncultured bacterium
Lineage: Bacteria
Description: bacterial SSU rRNA
Rfam family: Bacterial small subunit ribosomal RNA
Source: RNAcentral